GGUCACGUGGCGGAAUUGGUAUACGCGUACGUCUCAGAAGCGUAUCCCGUAAGGGUUGGGGGUUCGAGUCCCCCCGUGACCACCA
Molecule: transfer RNA, 85 nt
Filed under: Patescibacteria group bacterium
Lineage: Bacteria
Also listed under: 1 other name
Description: tRNA-Leu
Rfam family: tRNA
About the family: Transfer RNA (tRNA) molecules are approximately 80 nucleotides in length. Their secondary structure includes four short double-helical elements and three loops (D, anti-codon, and T loops). Further hydrogen bonds mediate the characteristic L-shaped molecular structure. tRNAs have two regions of fundamental functional importance: the anti-codon, which is responsible for specific mRNA codon recognition, and the 3' end, to which the tRNAs corresponding amino acid is attached (by aminoacyl-tRNA synthetases). tRNAs cope with the degeneracy of the genetic code in two manners: having more than one tRNA (with a specific anti-codon) for a particular amino acid; and 'wobble' base-pairing, i.e. permitting non-standard base-pairing at the 3rd anti-codon position.
Source: RNAcentral